This 1029-nucleotide ribosomal RNA is filed under the name Enterococcus faecium. Its description in RNAcentral is "bacterial SSU rRNA". It matches the Rfam family "Bacterial small subunit ribosomal RNA", at positions 207 to 1226 of the family's 1533-position model. Lineage: Bacteria; Bacillati; Bacillota; Bacilli; Lactobacillales; Enterococcaceae. The record is from RNAcentral.
GCUUUCGGGUGUCGCUGAUGGAUGGACCCGCGGUGCAUUAGCUAGUUGGUGAGGUAACGGCUCACCAAGGCCACGAUGCAUAGCCGACCUGAGAGGGUGAUCGGCCACAUUGGGACUGAGACACGGCCCAAACUCCUACGGGAGGCAGCAGUAGGGAAUCUUCGGCAAUGGACGAAAGUCUGACCGAGCAACGCCGCGUGAGUGAAGAAGGUUUUCGGAUCGUAAAACUCUGUUGUUAGAGAAGAACAAGGAUGAGAGUAACUGUUCAUCCCUUGACGGUAUCUAACCAGAAAGCCACGGCUAACUACGUGCCAGCAGCCGCGGUAAUACGUAGGUGGCAAGCGUUGUCCGGAUUUAUUGGGCGUAAAGCGAGCGCAGGCGGUUUCUUAAGUCUGAUGUGAAAGCCCCCGGCUCAACCGGGGAGGGUCAUUGGAAACUGGGAGACUUGAGUGCAGAAGAGGAGAGUGGAAUUCCAUGUGUAGCGGUGAAAUGCGUAGAUAUAUGGAGGAACACCAGUGGCGAAGGCGGCUCUCUGGUCUGUAACUGACGCUGAGGCUCGAAAGCGUGGGGAGCAAACAGGAUUAGAUACCCUGGUAGUCCACGCCGUAAACGAUGAGUGCUAAGUGUUGGAGGGUUUCCGCCCUUCAGUGCUGCAGCUAACGCAUUAAGCACUCCGCCUGGGGAGUACGACCGCAAGGUUGAAACUCAAAGGAAUUGACGGGGGCCCGCACAAGCGGUGGAGCAUGUGGUUUAAUUCGAAGCAACGCGAAGAACCUUACCAGGUCUUGACAUCCUUUGACCACUCUAGAGAUAGAGCUUCCCCUUCGGGGGCAAAGUGACAGGUGGUGCAUGGUUGUCGUCAGCUCGUGUCGUGAGAUGUUGGGUUAAGUCCCGCAACGAGCGCAACCCUUAUUGUUAGUUGCCAUCAUUCAGUUGGGCACUCUAGCAAGACUGCCGGUGACAAACCGGAGGAAGGUGGGGAUGACGUCAAAUCAUCAUGCCCCUUAUGACCUGGGCUACACACGUGCU